GUGAAAUCAGAAGCCAAUUAGGCCACAGUGAUUGUUUGAAAAGCUUGAGUCUUCCCAAAACUCAGGCUGAGACUUAGUUCUUUACUGUGUCGGUGCUGGGAGGUGAGGCCACCCAGGAAUGUUGGGAGCUUAUGAACAGAUCUCCUAUGAGCUAUCUCCUCACAGUGAGUUCUCACUCUGUAGUCCUAGAUAAAUUACCAUGACAGUGUGGUGUCCUAAAGCAAUGUCAGCUCUUGUGUCUCUUUACACUCAGUGCCUUUCCCUGCUGCCUUUCUGCCCUGCAAGGCCUUCACCAGAAGUCAGGUAGUUUGGCUCAAGCUUGGACUUUUGGUCUCCCGAACUGAACUGCUUUUCUUUAUAAAUAACCUACACUAAGAUAUUUGUUAUAUCAUCAUCAACAACAACAACAACAACAACAACAAAAACCAGUCUUAGGCAAUCAUUACACUUAGUUGUUGACAUAUUGUUUGAUUAUUUGUAUUGCUAUUACAAUGUCUGGAUAGAUUCCUUAGACUGUUGAUAUCUAGGAAAUGGCUUGUGGAGAGAAAAAAGUAACAAUGGACCCUAAAUUUCUAAGUUUUACCUUUCCUUCAGUGAGCAUGUAUAAUUUUGUAUAUCAUUUGCAUAAAACAAUUCUGAAUGUAAUUUUGAUGCCCUGUUAGAACUGCAACUGCUAGCCACGAGUCGUCCUUGCCAUUCAUCAGAAUGUUAGAAUUAAAACCAGAAGAAGGCUUAUUGAUGGAACUGUAGCAAAGUGGGUGUUACAUGAAGUCAGAAGGCCCACAGCAGCAGGAGCAGCAGCAGCAGCAGCAGGAGCAGCAGCAGCAGCAGCAGCAGCAGCAGCAGCAGCAGCAGCAGCAGCUCUGGGUGAGCUUCCCUCUGUGUCCUUUGACCUCCUGUUUUCAGAAGCCUGUAACUUCAAGCUGACUGCCUGCUCUGACACACCCCAGCUGCUCUUUACUAACAAGGACACACCUUGGAAAAGCAUUCCGGAUGCUAGAUCACUUUUUCCGUGUUAUAAAAUCUAAUCAUGGAGUUAUGAUGUGCUUUUCUGUUUGUUUGUUUAAGCAAUUAAAUGAAGCUGUAGUGAAUGAAGAACAAUUCCUUGUUUAUCCUCAAGAGGGGCAGCUGAAGAAAAUGGAAAGAAACAGCUAAAAACAUUCAAAUAUAAACUAUGCUUUGCCAAAUAGCUCAUUCAUUUACAAAAUGUAACUUGCAAAGAGAUUUUUUAUCUGGUUGGGUGUAGAAACAACUCCGUUGGUAAUGUACUUGCCAUGCAUCCUGAGUUUGAUACCCAGUACCCAAUUACCCACACAAGAAGCCUGGUGGCAUGUGCUUAUAACCCCAGCUCUAGAUAGGGAAGUAUAGGAGGUAGACCCUUGCGAAUCCCAAAUGUUAACCAGCCUAGCCUG
This 1412-nucleotide long non-coding RNA is filed under the name Mus spicilegus (steppe mouse). Its description in RNAcentral is "lncRNA (ENSMSIG00000031775.1)". The record is from RNAcentral. Lineage: Eukaryota; Metazoa; Chordata; Mammalia; Rodentia; Muridae.